GCAAAACGCGAAGAACCUUACCAAGGCUUGACAUCCCUCUGACCGAUUUAGAGAUAGAUCUUUCCCUUCGGGGACAGAGGUGACAGGUGGUGCAUGGUUGUCGUCAGCUCGUGUCGUGAGAUGUUGGGUUAAGUCCCGCAACGAGCGCAACCCUUAUCUUUAGUUGCCAGCAUUUAGUUGGGCACUCUAGAGAGACUGCCGGUGACAAACCGGAGGAAGGUGGGGAUGACGUCAAAUCAUCAUGCCCCUUAUGUCUUGGGCUACACACGUGCUACAAUGGUUGGUACAAAGGGCUGCAAGCCAGCGAUGGUUAGCCAAUCCCAUAAGCCAAUCUCAGUUCGGAUUGUAGGCUGCAACUCGCCUACAUGAAGUCGGAAUCGCUAGUAAUCGCAGAUCAGCAUGCUGCGGUGAAUACGUUCCCGGGUCUUGUACACACCG
This 438-nucleotide ribosomal RNA is filed under the name uncultured bacterium. RNAcentral's name for it is "bacterial SSU rRNA". It matches the Rfam family "Bacterial small subunit ribosomal RNA", at positions 954 to 1392 of the family's 1533-position model. The record is from RNAcentral.